Molecule: unclassified non-coding RNA, 1111 nt
Filed under: Hevea brasiliensis (rubber tree)
Lineage: Eukaryota; Viridiplantae; Streptophyta; Magnoliopsida; Malpighiales; Euphorbiaceae
Source: RNAcentral
GAAGUCAAUAGUUAUUUGAAGGUAUUUAAUUAGAUCGAAUUUUUAGAGAAUGUGUGAUGUUUUACCAUAAAUGUUAGCAGAACAGAACCUAGACUAGCUCAUACCUGGCUCAUUCAUCAAACAAGUCCUAGCAAAUAAGCUUAAUUGAGUUGUUGACCUGAGCUUGAGUUGAGUAGAAGUCAUCCUUAAGUUAACAAACCUUAAAACUUCUCGGAACUUUUUAUUCAUGUGCUUUUCAACCAAGUCGUAAUCAAGGUAUAAAUGUACCUAUUUGCAAAUUUAUAGCCAAACUUAAACAAGCUGCCCAUGAACUUAGACAAUUUGAGCCCAUUGUUGUUCAAACUUGGCUCAUUUGUUGAACAAGCUUUAAAUUUAGGCUUCAGAAUUACUUGUUAAUGUAAAUAAAUGAGCUUGAGUGAGCCCUUACCAAGUCAAGCCUUCAUCUAAGUCAGGAAACACUUGAUUCCUUUCCAGCAUUAACUAUAUAUGAGAUUGAAACAUUGAAGAAAACUGAAGGCCUCUAAUUUAGCUACCAAUAGCAUUAAAUGGGAAUGAAGAUAUUCAGAGAAAGAUUAUAAUCGAACUGGCAAUAAUAUUUCUAUGUAUGUAACAUGGCUGGUUAUGUUCUCUAGUCUGAUUGCCAACUUUGGUUGGUGAACUCUGGAAAUUCGUGUUCAUCAAACCUUAUAAUUUUGUCGUCAAUCUGCUAUUUGUAAUAUAAAUUGCUUGGACACCGUUUUUUUUAUAUGGAAGGGUAUCCCAUUUCUGCUCAAUAUUAGAACUUUCAGUGAUCUAAAGUGUUACCUGAAAGAGGAACCUAAACCCAUUUCUCUUAAGGAUUGAAGGCAUUUUGAGAUUUGUACUUUUUCUUAAAAUUUUAAAACUUGCAUGAACCCGUUCCUCUUAAUUUUUUUCAGUUCAUUUAUUGUGCAUUUGAUUUGACAUCAAAAGGUAGUGUGUGUGCAUCUUUUGGCGUGAGAAAUGAUAUGUUGGAGUAGAUUUGUUAUGCGAGUUCACUAGUACACAUGUACACACACUCCAUGUUUAUGGCAUAUGCAGACUUGGCCACUAAUGAAUUUGACUUUUCAGGUAGUAUUUGUUCCAAAUUACA